CAGUAGCCGCGGGAAUACGUAGGUGGCAAGCGUUGUCCGGAAUUAUUGGGCGUAAAGGGCUCGCAGGCGGUUUCUUAAGUCUGAUGUGAAAGCCCCCGGCUCAACCGGGGAGGGUCAUUGGAAGCUGGGAAACUUGAGUGCAGAAGAGGAGAGUGGAAUUCCACGUGUAGCGGUGAAAUGCGUAGAGAUGUGGAGGAACACCAGUGGCGAAGGCGACUCUCUGGUCUGUAACUGACGCUGAGGAGCGAAAGCGUGGGGAGCGAACAGGAUUAGAGACCCCCGUAGUCCCUGUCUCUUAUAC
RNAcentral lists this ribosomal RNA (301 nucleotides) under uncultured bacterium. RNAcentral's name for it is "partial 16S ribosomal RNA". It matches the Rfam family "Bacterial small subunit ribosomal RNA", at positions 509 to 807 of the family's 1533-position model. The record is from RNAcentral.